This 1085-nucleotide long non-coding RNA is filed under the name Salmo salar (Atlantic salmon). RNAcentral's name for it is "lncRNA (ENSSSAG00000085185.1)". Lineage: Eukaryota; Metazoa; Chordata; Actinopteri; Salmoniformes; Salmonidae. The record is from RNAcentral.
UGUGUGUGUUAGAUAGGGCUGAUUUGCCUGGCUGAAGACACAAAGCAGGAUUAUAAAGCCACUAGGGUUAGAGUUAUGGGUAGAGCAGGGCCCACCAGACACAGUAUGGAGAGAGAGAUAGAGAGAGAGGUAGAGAGAGGGAAAGGUAGAGAGAGAGAGAGAGGUAGAGAGAGGGGGAGGUAGAGAGAGGGAGAGGUAGAGAGAGAGAGGUAGAGAGAGGGGGAGGUAGAGAGAGAGAGGUAGAGAGAGGUAGAGAGAGAGAUAGAGAGAGAGGUAGAGAGAGGGAGAGAGAGAGAGAGAGGUAGAGAGGUAGAGAGAGGGGGAGGUAGAGAGAGAGAGGUAGAGAGAGGUAGAGAGAGAGGUAGAGAGAGAGAGGUAGAGGUAGAGAGAAAGGUAGAGAGAGAGAGAGAGAGAGAGAGAGAGGUAGAGAGAGUUAGGGGUAGAGCAGGGCCCACCAGACACAGUAUAGAGAGAGAGAGAGGUAGAGAGAGAGAGGUAGAGAGAGAGGUAGGUAGAGAGAGAGGUAGAGAGAGAGAGAGGGAGGUAGAGAGAGGUAGAGAGAGGGAGGUAGAGAGGUAGAGAGAGAGGUAGAGAGAGAGGUAGAGAGGUAGAGAGGGAGGUAGAGAGGUAGAGAGGUAGAGAGAGAGGUAGAGAGGUAGAGAGGUAGAGAGAGAGGUAGGGGUAGAGCAGGGCCCACCAGACACAGUAUGGAGAGUGGGAGGUAGAGAGAGAGAGGUAGAGAGAGAGAGAGAGGUAGAGAGAGAGAGGUAGAGAGAGAGGUAGGUAGAGAGAGAGGUAGAGAGAGAGAGAGAUAGAGAGAGGUAGAGAGAGAGAGGUAGAGAGAGUUAGGGGUAAAGAGAGAGGUAGAGAGAGAGGGAGGUAGAGAGAGAGAGAGAGAGAGAGGUAGAGAGAGGUAGAGAGAGGUAGAGAGAGAGAGGUAGAGAGAGGGAGGUAGAGAGAGGGAGGUAGAGAGAGAGAGGUAGAGAGAGGUAGAGAGAGAGAGAGAGGUAGAGAGAGAGAGAGAGAGAGAGAGAGAGAGAGAGAGAGAGAGAGAGAGAGAGAGAGAGAGAGAGAGAGAGAGAGAG